RNAcentral lists this ribosomal RNA (254 nucleotides) under uncultured bacterium. RNAcentral's name for it is "partial 16S ribosomal RNA". It matches the Rfam family "Bacterial small subunit ribosomal RNA", at positions 524 to 776 of the family's 1533-position model. The record is from RNAcentral.
UACGUAGGGGGCGAGCGUUGUCCGGAUUUAUUGGGCGUAAAGAGCUCGUAGGCGGUUCGGUAAGUCGGAUGUGAAAUCUCCACGCUCAACGUGGAGGGGCCAUUCGAUACUGCUGUGACUCGAGUCCGGUAGGGGAGUGUGGAAUUCCCGGUGUAGCGGUGAAAUGCGCAGAGAUCGGGAGGAACACCCGUAGCGAAGGCGGCACUCUGGGCCGGUACUGACGCUGAGGAGCGAAAGCGUGGGGAGCAAACAGG